UACGUAGGGUGCGAGCGUUGUCCGGAAUUACUGGGCGUAAAGAGCUCGUAGGUGGUUUGUCGCGUUGUUCGUGAAAACUCACAGCUUAACUGUGGGCGUGCGGGCGAUACGGGCAGACUGGAGUACUGCAGGGGAGACUGGAAUUCCUGGUGUAGCGGUGGAAUGCGCAGAUAUCAGGAGGAACACCGGUGGCGCAGGCGGGUCUCUGGGCAGUAACUGACGCUGAGGAGCGAAAGCGUGGGGAGCGAACAGG
RNAcentral lists this ribosomal RNA (253 nucleotides) under uncultured bacterium. RNAcentral's name for it is "partial 16S ribosomal RNA". It matches the Rfam family "Bacterial small subunit ribosomal RNA", at positions 524 to 776 of the family's 1533-position model. The record is from RNAcentral.